RNAcentral lists this non-coding RNA (30 nucleotides) under Rattus norvegicus (Norway rat). The record is from RNAcentral. Lineage: Eukaryota; Metazoa; Chordata; Mammalia; Rodentia; Muridae.
UGGUUGGACAUCACAAGCUGGUGCUGAAUU